RNAcentral lists this ribosomal RNA (253 nucleotides) under uncultured bacterium. RNAcentral's name for it is "partial 16S ribosomal RNA". It matches the Rfam family "Bacterial small subunit ribosomal RNA", at positions 524 to 776 of the family's 1533-position model. The record is from RNAcentral.
UACGUAGGGGGCAAGCGUUAUCCGGAUUUACUGGGUGUAAAGGGAGCGUAGACGGCAGGGCAAGUCUGGAGUGAAAGGCAGGGGCCCAACCCCUGGACUGCUCUGGAAACUGUCCGGCUGGAGUGCAGGAGAGGUAAGUGGAAUUCCUAGUGUAGCGGUGAAAUGCGUAGAUAUUAGGAGGAACACCAGUGGCGAAGGCGGCUUACUGGACUGUAACUGACGUUGAGGCUCGAAAGCGCGGGGAGCAAACAGG